Molecule: ribosomal RNA, 253 nt
Filed under: uncultured bacterium
Lineage: Bacteria
Description: partial 16S ribosomal RNA
Rfam family: Bacterial small subunit ribosomal RNA
Source: RNAcentral
UACGGAGGGAGCUAGCGUUGUUCGGAAUUACUGGGCGUAAAGCGCACGUAGGCGGCUUCGCAAGUUAGAGGUGAAAGCCCGGGGCUCAACCCCGGAAUUGCCUUUAAAACUGCAUCGCUUGAAUCCGGGAGAGGUGAGUGGAAUUCCGAGUGUAGAGGUGAAAUUCGUAGAUAUUCGGAAGAACACCAGUGGCGAAGGCGGCUCACUGGACCGGUAUUGACGCUGAGGUGCGAAAGCGUGGGGAGCAAACAGG